Molecule: long non-coding RNA, 2740 nt
Filed under: Triticum aestivum (bread wheat)
Lineage: Eukaryota; Viridiplantae; Streptophyta; Magnoliopsida; Poales; Poaceae
Description: long non-coding RNA (TAES_LNC017335)
Source: RNAcentral
UGCUGGGUUUGAGACAUGAUGCUGGGAUCCGUAGUUAUAUAUACUUGAAAGAAUUGGCAUGGUUGUCUUGGUAUAAAACGAUGGCUUGGUUGUCUUGGUAUAAAACGAUGGCUUGGUUGGAACUGGAAGGUUGAAAGUGUAAUGGAAUGUCGAUCCUUUUUGGAUGUGUUAGAAGCGUGAGAGGGAUUUGGUGAAAUCGUUGUUAUUGCUUGAGCUUCGUGGGCAUAUAUAUAGGACUACAUGAUCUAUUUGGGAUACAAGGCAAGUCAGAAUAAUUCCUAGUCUAACCUAUGUUUCCAAUCUAAUUAAUAUACUCAACAUCCCCCCGCAGUCACAACGGUAGCGACGCAGACGGUGAGACUGGAGAAGAAUCCGAAGGCAAGCCGACGGACACCCCCCAUAGUCGUAACGGUCGAUGCAUCGUGGAGUUGUGGCUGGAGUGAAAAACCGACGAGGUUGCUCAAGUAGGAGGUAGCCCUUUGUGCCGUUUGUCGAGGUAGCGGAGAGCGUAUGGUGGUGGAGUCGUGGUCGAGGUAGCCGUAAGAAGAAUGCCGUGGUCGAUGUCGAGUCGGGGUGGCCGGUGUCGAGGAAGUCGCCGUGGAGGCGCGGGCGCAAGGUGGCGCCGAGUUAGUGGUGCGCCGGGAAGAAGAUGUUGCUGACGACGCGUCGCGGUGGGUUUGCCAAGCCCGGGGACACAUCGUGGACGAAGGCACGCACUGGUGUUGCCAACACCGGGCAUGCGUAGACGGACGAAGACGAAGUUGACGAAGCGCCGCACCAGGCUUCCAAGUCCCGGGGACACGUCGUGGACGAAGGCACGCGACGGUGUUGCCAGCACCGGGCAUGCGUAGACUGGGACUUGCACGAGCUGUACGCCAUGUCGAAGAAGUCGGAGAAGCCAGCAGAGAAGGACUCGACGAUGGUUGCGGCGCCAAUCGGCGCGGGGCCGAUGUCGCCCUUGGUUGUCGGAGUACACGAAAUGGUCGGGGUAGAUCUCGACGACGCUGGCGACGGGCUGGUGCUGGACGAAGACGAUGGAGGUGGACGGGCGGUGGAGGCUACAGGGGUAGCGGCGGCGGCAGCCAAAGAAGAGCGGCGGCGGCCUGACGGCGGCAGCGACGGCUAGGUUAGGAGCGCGGCGGCGGUGCUCGAAGUAGGCGAAGAACCCUGACAGCGUGACGAAGACCAGCGCGGACGGUGGCGUUCCUGCGUCAAGGGAGGCGGCGCAGCGCAUACCACGGGAGGUCGACGCGCGGUGCCGGCGGAGUGGACCGCGGGCCGCGACGCUACGGCCCGAAGGGGCGACGUAGUGGCGGCGGGCAGGUCGGGGCGACGGUGGGAAGACCUCGGGGCAGCGGCGGGGACCGCGGGCCGCUGCACUACGGCCCGAAAGGGCGGCGCAGCGACGAAACUCGGGUCGGUGCAACCGCGGGAACGGUCUCGGGACGGCGGCCUGGACCGCGUGCCAUGCUCGCUACAGCCCGACGAGGCGACGCAGCGCCGGUGCGAGGGUCAGUGUAGCCACGGGACGGCCUAGAGCGGACGCCCUCGGGGCGGCGGGGGACCGCGGGCCGCAACACUACGGCCUGAAGUGUGACGUAGCGGUGACGCGGGUCGGUGCAGCUGGGAGAAGGACCACGGGGCGGCGUCGCUGCAGCCCGACGGGGCGACGCAACGGCAGCCCAUUGCUCGAUCAGUAGAGGAGCGUGCUGAACUCCAGACAGUCUUCACGGAGCCUACGGAGGCGCGCGCAACCGACAGGCCAGGUCAGUGGCACGACGUAGAUGAGGCGGAUUGCGGCGGCGGGCGGGUGAUCAAUCCGAUCGCGCGCGAGGACGGGGACGCCGCUUGGUGGAGGCGGGAUGGCAGCGGAGUCCGAGAUGAAGCCGGCGACGGCAGGGCGGCUAUGAUUGGCCGCCGCAUUACGCGAGGCCGCCGGGUCGGGGUGAUGUAUGAGUCCCGGUCGGAGCAGGGCGGUGACGGCCUGCGUAGAUCGACGGGCGGGCCGGUGCGCGAACGGCAGCGGUGAAGGGCCGCCGCAUGACGCGAGACCGCCGGGUCGGGGCAACCGGCGGGCAGACGCGCGAGGCCGCCGGGUCGGUGAAGAAGCCGGCCGAUUGCGCCGGUGUUGGAGUAGAGGCGCACGGUCGACGGUAGCGGUAGGCGACGCAAACCGAUCAAGAUUAGAUCGGAAAACCAAAAAGAAACCGCCGAUCAAGAUGACCGGCGGGAGAGAGAGAACCCCGAAGCAAGGGCUCGGGAAAAAGACUCUCUAGAGCAGCCGGUCAACACGACCGGCGGACGAACCCUGGGUACGGGCAGCGCAGCCCCCGGCGACGGUCAUGGAGGCCGACCGCCCCAGGGGCGGCGCGCGGGUGCGGAAGCAGCGGCGGCUAAGGUUUAGAACCCGUAAACUGAUACCAUGUUAAAAGGAAGAGAGGGAUUUUGUGAAAUCGUUGUUAUUGCUUGAGCCUCAUGGGCAUAUAUAUAGGAAUACAUGAUCUAUUUGGGGUACAAGGCAAGCCAGAAUAAUUCCUAGUCUAACCUAUAUUUCCAAUCUAAUCAAUAUACUCAACGGGAUGUAUAUGUUGUGCAACAAUAGAACAUGUUAUUCUUGAGAGCUGUAAGUUGUAAAACACCUAUAGUUUAACUGCCAAUGCAGUCACUUCAUUAUUAGUAAUGGAGUAAAUAUGCUGCUAAUACGGUCGUCUUAUCGAACAUAUAAAGGUUGAAGGGGUUG